UGCCAGACUCCUACGGGAGGCAGCAGUGAGGAAUAUUGGUCAAUGGUCGGGAGACUGAACCAGCCAAGCCGCGUGAGGGAGGAAGGUACAGAGUAUCGUAAACCUCUUUUGUCAGGGGACAAAGACUGGGACGCGUCCCCGGAUGAGUGUACCUGAAGAAAAAGCAUCGGCUAACUCCGUGCCAGCAGCCGCGGUAAUACGGAGGAUGCGAGCGUUAUCCGGAUUUAUUGGGUUUAAAGGGUGCGCAGGCGGAGGUGCAAGUCAGCGGUAAAAUUGCGGGGCUCAACCCCGUACUGCCGUUGAAACUGCAUCCCUUGAGUGCGCGAGAAGUAUGCGGAAUGCGUGGUGUAGCGGUGAAAUGCAUAGAUAUCACGCAGAACUCCGAUUGCGAAGGCAGCAUACCGGUGCACAACUGACGCUCAGGCACGAAAGCGUGGGUAUCGAACAGGAUUAGAUACCCUUGUA
Molecule: ribosomal RNA, 465 nt
Filed under: uncultured bacterium
Lineage: Bacteria
Description: bacterial SSU rRNA
Rfam family: Bacterial small subunit ribosomal RNA
Source: RNAcentral